CAGCACCUCAAGUGGUCAGGAUGAUUAUUGGGCCUAAAGCAUCCGUAGCCGGCUCUGUAAGUUUUCGGUUAAAUCUUUACGCUCAACGUACAGGCUGCCGGGAAUACUGCAGAGCUAGGGAGUGGGAGAGGUAGACGGUACUCGGUAGGAAGGGGUAAAAUCCUUUGAUCUAUUGAUGACCACCUGUGGCGAAGGCGGUCUACCAGAACACGUCCGACGGUGAGGGAUGAAAGCUGGGGGAGCAAACCGGAUUAGAUACCCGAGUAGUCC
This 270-nucleotide ribosomal RNA is filed under the name uncultured archaeon. Its description in RNAcentral is "partial 16S ribosomal RNA". It matches the Rfam family "Archaeal small subunit ribosomal RNA", at positions 477 to 747 of the family's 1478-position model. The record is from RNAcentral.